RNAcentral lists this ribosomal RNA (64 nucleotides) under Tessmannia macrantha. RNAcentral's name for it is "Tessmannia sp. ME-2017a partial 26S ribosomal RNA". It matches the Rfam family "Eukaryotic large subunit ribosomal RNA", at positions 1 to 60 of the family's 3401-position model. Lineage: Eukaryota; Viridiplantae; Streptophyta; Magnoliopsida; Fabales; Fabaceae. The record is from RNAcentral.
CACGCGACCCCAGCUCAGGCGGGGCCACCCGCUGAGUUUAAGCAUAUCAAUAAGCGGAGGAAAA